UACGGAAGGCAGCAGUGGGGAAUAUUGCACAAUGGGCGCAAGCCUGAUGCAGCCAUGCCGCGUGUAUGAAGAAGGCCUUCGGGUUGUAAGGUACUUUCAGCGGGGAGGAAGGCGGUGGAGUUAAUAGCUUCACCGAUUGACGUUACCCGCAGAAGAAGCACCGGCUAACUCCGUGCCAGCAGCCGCGGUAAUACGGAGGGUGCAAGCGUUAAUCGGAAUUACUGGGCGUAAAGCGCACGCAGGCGGUCUGUCAAGUCGGAUGUGAAAUCCCCGGGCUUAACCUGGGAACUGCAUUCGAAACUGGCAGGCUAGAGUCUUGUAGAGGGGGUAGAAUUCCAGGUGUAGCGGUGAAAUGCGUAGAGAUCUGGAGGAAUACCGGUGGCGAAGGCGGCCCCUGGGACAAGACUGACGCUCAGGUGCGAAAGCGUGGGGAGCAAACGAGGAUUAGGAUACCCGGU
RNAcentral lists this ribosomal RNA (458 nucleotides) under uncultured bacterium. RNAcentral's name for it is "bacterial SSU rRNA". It matches the Rfam family "Bacterial small subunit ribosomal RNA", at positions 340 to 791 of the family's 1533-position model. The record is from RNAcentral.